RNAcentral lists this long non-coding RNA (581 nucleotides) under Homo sapiens (human). Its description in RNAcentral is "non-protein coding lnc-CNTNAP3-24:3". The record is from RNAcentral. Lineage: Eukaryota; Metazoa; Chordata; Mammalia; Primates; Hominidae.
GUGCGAAAAAGAAAGAAGGCCAAAGGGAAGAAGGUGGUGCUGACCCUUGCGGUCUUGAAAAAGCAGGAGACCAUGAAAGUGGUGAAUCUUCCAUUUGAGAAAUUUGGCACUGGACAGGACAUUUUGGCAUUGGACAGAACAUCCAGCCCAAAAGGGACCUCACUUGCUUUGUCAAAUGGCCCCAUUAUACUAGGUUGCAGCAGCAGAGAGCCAUCCUCUAUAAGCAGCUAGAAGUGCCUUCUGUGAUUAGUCAGUUCACCAGGGCCUUGGACCACCAAACAGCUGCUCAAUGGGGUAAGCUGGCUGGCAAGUACAGACCAGAGACAAAGCAAGAGAAGCAGCAGAGACUGUUGGCCUGGGCUGAGAAGAAAGCAAAGGAGACAUCCCCACUGAGAGAUCACCUGUCCUUUUAAUGGGGGUUAACGCUGUCACCACCUUAGCGGAGAAAAAGAAGGAUCAGCUGGUGAUGACUACACAGGACAGAGAUCCCAUUGAGUUGGUUGUCUUCCUGCCUGCCCUGUGUUGUAAACUGGGGGUUCCUUACUGCAUUAUCUAAUGGAAGGCAAGCUUGAGACAUCUAG